CCUAUUUACAUCAAUUUCUCAGAAGAAAAGUUUUUCCAUUUCAGCACACAUCCAAAAAUGAUUAGCAUAGAGAACAAAAUAUUACACCAACCAAUAAAGGAAAAUGCUUGAAACAUGGAUUUUCCCCUCUUAUUCUUUCCAUCCAAUGGUUUCCUCUUACCAUCACAUGCAUGACUAACGCCCAUGAAAAUUUCUGUGGGCGUCUGUAAGUAAACAUAAUGUUAGAGGAGAAAGGUAUUUUAUGUGGGAGAUGAUGAGUUAUACAUUAUUUCUAUUGCUAUCGGCAUUCUAGAGUUUUAUUGCAGUAUCUUGGAACCAUUCUUUGUGACGGCACGGAAGCAUGCAUGACAACCAUCAAAUUUCUGAAAAGUAAAUGGGCUGGUAAGUUGUCAUUGUUUUUGCUAUGCCUGAGUCCAGAUACCAGAGGCACACUUUGAGAUUUUGGUAUUUCAGUGCCAUGACAGAAGCAAUGGAGGAUCCCAUCUGCUGCGAAAGAGCGACAGGAACAUCAAAAUCUACAAAAAAAAGGAUACACAAGAAGACAGGUUAUGCAUGAUUUUAGCUGGUUCUCUAUAUCCACGGAUGGAGGAAAAGUAAAUGAGUUCAACAACAAGCGAUAAUAUGUGAACUGAUGCCAACGGUGGUCAUACAUUCCAGUGCAGCAGUAUUCAACCGGAACUGCAUUUCUAGUAAAUUUAUCAUAAAAUCAAGGGAACGUUGAGGAGGUGAAACAACAACUACAGCAUUCUCACACCAAGAAAUACAAGUAAAAGAAAACAUUACAAAGCAAUCACACAAACAAGCAUUAACAAAUGAGCCAUCUUAAAUAAUUAAGGUUCUCCCGAUUAUAAAAAGUAAAUAGACUUAUUCUCCAGUUUCUUGUGCAAGUAUUAUGGUUUAGUUGUUGGCAAUACCAGAAGAGAAGGGUGGCAAAGACGUUGACUGAAACAUUGAGGCCUUGUGUUCUCAUCCACGCAUGUCUGCUUCCUAAAGGAAAAAAGGAAUUUUCAAAAUCAGCCACAUCUAAUAAUAAUGCAGAUCAGAUGGCUAUCACAGAUUACCACGGGAAGUAACUGGUAACUAAGAGAAGAUAUUGGAACAAAGAGACUGGAUAACACCCCAGUUCAUCUAAGCAUAAAUUAUUUCUUCAGUCUGGACACCUUGGAUUCAUCCAAAAAAAAGGCUGGUUCCCAUGGAUCAGAGCUGGCCAUGAGGUACUAGAAAACAUAAAAAUGUCAAAAGCUCAUCCAAAAUAAUUGAUACAGAUGG
RNAcentral lists this long non-coding RNA (1269 nucleotides) under Elaeis guineensis (African oil palm). RNAcentral describes it as "long non-coding RNA (EGUI_LNC030701)". Lineage: Eukaryota; Viridiplantae; Streptophyta; Magnoliopsida; Arecales; Arecaceae. The record is from RNAcentral.